GAUCCUGCGUCCCAUUAGGUAGUUGGUGAGGUAACGGCCCACCAAGCCUGCGAUGGGUAGCCGAGCUGAGAGGCUGAACGGCCACACUGGAACUGAGACACGGUCCAGACUCCUACGGGAGGCAGCAGUGGGGAAUAUUGGGCAAUGGGCGCAAGCCUGACCCAGCAACGCCGCGUGAGGGAAGAAGGUUUUCGGAUUGUAAACCUCUGUCCUUGGGGACGAAAAAACUGACGGUACCUUACCAGAAAGCCCCGGCUAACUACGUGCCAGCAGCCGCGGUAAUACGUAGGGGGCAAGCGUUGUCCGGAAUUACUGGGCGUAAAGGGUGCGUAGGCGGUUUGAUAAGUCUGAGGUGAAAUACCCGGGCUUAACCUGGGGGGUGCAUCUAAUACUGGGAGGCUAGAGUGCAGGAGAGGAAAGCGGAAUUCCUAGUGUAGCGGUGAAAUGCGUAGAUAUUAGGAGGAACACCAGUGGCGAAGGCGGCUUUCUGGACUGUAACUGACGCUGAGGCACGAAAGCGUGGGGAGCAAACAGGAUUAGAUACCCUGGUAGUCCACGCGGUAAACGAUGAAUACUAGGUGUAGGGGGUAUCAACUCCCCCUGUGCUGCAGUUAACGCAAUAAGUAUUCCGCCUGGGGAGUAUGCACGCAAGUGUGAAACUCAAAGGAAUUGACGGGGGCCCGCACAAGCGGUGGAGCAUGUGGUUUAAUUCGACGCAACGCGAAGAACCUUACCAGGGCUUGACAUCCCGAUCGUACCUGCUGGAAACAGUGGGGUCAAGGUUAUCUGGGAUACAGGUGGUGCAUGGUUGUCGUCAGCUCGUGUCGUGAGAUGUUGGGUUAAGUCCCGCAACGAGCGCAACCCUUAUCUUUAGUUACCAUCAUUCAGUUGGGGACUCUAGAGAGACUGCCGGUGACAAACCGGAGGAAGGUGGGGAUGACGUCAAAUCAUCAUGCCCCUUAUGACUUGGGCUACACACGUACUACAAUGGCGUAUACAGAGAGACGCGAAGUGGCGACAUGGAGCAAACCUCACAAAGUACGUCUCAGUUCAGAUUGAAGUCUGCAACUCGACUUCAUGAAGGCGGAAUCGCUAGUAAUCGCGAAUCAGAACGUCGCGGUGAAUACGUUCCCGGGUCUUGUACACACCGCCCGUCA
This 1157-nucleotide ribosomal RNA is filed under the name uncultured bacterium. RNAcentral describes it as "bacterial SSU rRNA". It matches the Rfam family "Bacterial small subunit ribosomal RNA", at positions 227 to 1399 of the family's 1533-position model. The record is from RNAcentral.